This 501-nucleotide ribosomal RNA is filed under the name uncultured bacterium. Its description in RNAcentral is "partial 16S ribosomal RNA". It matches the Rfam family "Bacterial small subunit ribosomal RNA", at positions 30 to 523 of the family's 1533-position model. The record is from RNAcentral.
AUUGAACGCUGGCGGCAGGCUUAACACAUGCAAGUCGAGCGGGGGAAGGUAGCUUGCUACUGGACCUAGCGGCGGACGGGUGAGUAAUGCUUAGGAAUCUGCCUAUUAGUGGGGGACAACAUCUCGAAAGGGAUGCUAAUACCGCAUACGUCCUACGGGAGAAAGCAGGGGAUCUUCGGACCUUGCGCUAAUAGAUGAGCCUAAGUCGGAUUAGCUAGUUGGUGGGGUAAAGGCCUACCAAGGCGACGAUCUGUAGCGGGUCUGAGAGGAUGAUCCGCCACACUGGGACUGAGACACGGCCCAGACUCCUACGGGAGGCAGCAGAGGGGAAUAUUGGACAAUGGGGGGAACCCUGAUCCAGCCAUGCCGCGUGUGUGAAGAAGGCCUUAUGGUUGUAAAGCACUUUAAGCGAGGAGGAGGCUACUCUAGUUAAUACCUAGGGAUAGUGGACGUUACUCGCAGAAUAAGCACCGGCUAACUCUGUGCCAGCCGCCGCUGUAA